RNAcentral lists this ribosomal RNA (535 nucleotides) under Ursus thibetanus (Asiatic black bear). Its description in RNAcentral is "partial large subunit ribosomal RNA". It matches the Rfam family "Bacterial large subunit ribosomal RNA", at positions 1854 to 2609 of the family's 2925-position model. Lineage: Eukaryota; Metazoa; Chordata; Mammalia; Carnivora; Ursidae. The record is from RNAcentral.
CUGCCUGCCCGGUGACAUUAGUUAAACGGCCGCGGUAUUCUGACCGUGCAAAGGUAGCAUAAUCAUUUGUUCUCUAAAUAAGGACUUGUAUGAAAGGCCACACGAGGGUUUAACUGUCUCUUACUUCCAAUCAGUGAAAUUGACCUUCCCGUGAAGAGGCGGGAAUAAAGCAAUAAGACGAGAAGACCCUAUGGAGCUUUAAUUAACUAGCUCAAAAGAAUCUAUCUACCAGACCGACAGGAACAACAUACUCCUUCCAUGAGCUAACAAUUUAGGUUGGGGCGACCUCGGAGCACAAAACAACCUCCGAGUGAUAUCAAUCUAGACGUACCAGUCAAAAUGCUCACUUACUUAUUGAUCCAAAAACCUCUUUGAUCAACGGAACAAGUUACCCUAGGGAUAACAGCGCAAUCCUAUUUAAGAGUCCAUAUCGACAAUAGGGUUUACGACCUCGAUGUUGGAUCAGGACAUCCUAAUGGUGCAGCAGCUAUUAAGGGUUCGUUUGUUCAACGAUUAAAGUCCUACGUGAUCUGAG